GACGAACGCUGGCGGCGUGCUUAACACAUGCAAGUCGAACGGCAACGCCCUGCUUUCGUGGUGUGCUCGAGUGGCGAACGGGUGAGUAACACGUGAGUAACCUGCCCUUGACUUUGGGAUAACUUCAGGAAACUGGGCUUAUGCCCAGACCGCACCCCCCCUGCCUGGGUGGGGAUGGGAACUUUUGGCGGUUGGGGAUGGAAUCGGGGGUUAUCGGCUUGCUGGGGGGGUGGUGGCUUACCAAGGCUGUGGACGGUAGCCGGCCUGGGAGGGGGGACGGCCACAUGGGGACUGAGAUACGGCGCAGACGCCUACGGGAGGCAGCAGUGGGGAAUAUUGCACAACGGGCGGAAGCCUGAUGCAGCAGCGCCGCGUGCGGGAUGACGGCCUUCGGGGUGUAAACCGCUUUCGCCUGUGACGAAGCGUGAGUGACGGUAAUGGGUAAAGAAGCACCGGCUAACUACGUG
Molecule: ribosomal RNA, 467 nt
Filed under: uncultured bacterium
Lineage: Bacteria
Description: partial 16S ribosomal RNA
Rfam family: Bacterial small subunit ribosomal RNA
Source: RNAcentral